Molecule: long non-coding RNA, 3964 nt
Organism: Suricata suricatta (meerkat)
Lineage: Eukaryota; Metazoa; Chordata; Mammalia; Carnivora; Herpestidae
Source: Ensembl
GGCGCCUGGAUCCUGGAGUUCUGACACAGAGCUCUUAGUCGUUGCACUCAAUGUCAUCCUGAAGUUUCCUGUAGUCCUGACAUCGCCAGUGCCGCUAGGGGCUUCGCUGCAGCUGUGACGGCGAUGCGUGUCAGUGUGCACAGCUCCGGGAGCCCCGCCCUGCAGCAGAGAGGCCUGAAGGGCCUCCCGGUACUGUUUGGAAACAUCCUCUGCUGUACUGUCAACAGGCCUCCAGAGCGUGGGUCAGUCUCCCUUCUGUGUCAGGGAGCAAGAAGGCUCUGAGAGAACACAGGAUCUCUUGUCCCAGGUCACUCGGUCCUGCCAAUAACCCGCUUAUCCAUCAGUGCUUCCGCCGUGGUCCCGGCCCCUCUGCCCGGAGCAGCCGUCUUGCCCCGCACAGCCCUGCGAGGUAGGUGGAGCAGUGCAGACACCCCUGAGUGUCCUAAACCCAGCUCUGGCCGCCCAGGGGGUCUGGAGGAGACAGUGGAUUCAAAGGGAGUCCCUGAGGUUUCUCUGGGGAAGCUCGGAGUGUGUUUCUGCCCAGUGCCUCGUUUGCUCCUCGCCUGCCUGGAGAGGGAGGCAGGGGUGGGGUCCUGUGGGGAAGAGACAAGGAAGGGCUGGGCGCCGGGCCGUGCGAGUUCUCACUGUGUGGCUGCAGGACGAUCGAUUUCCCUCUCAAGGCCUCCGUUCGCUCUUCUCUUCCGAAAGAGGGUGGAUUCCCUGGAGGUCCAUAAAUUCUCUUCCGAGAGGUGAGAAGAAGCCGGGCGUGGCUGCCAAGUCUCGGGCUUGUUGACCAGAGGAGGAGGACCCAGGGUGUGUGGGCCACACGGCAGGUGGAUGAGUCAUCCCCACCUGGGACAGCUGGCAGGGUGGGGCCCACGUGACCGUCAGAGUCGCUCUCCCACUGGAGGAGGCCGCCCUGCAGCUUUCUGGGCGGGGAGCAGGAGACCCCCUUCACCACCCAGCCUCUGCCUCGGUCUCUCCCCCAUAAAACAGGUGUAUUGGUCUCCCACCCACACACCUCACAAGGCUGCCGUGAGCACUAUACAAGCCUAGAAGGAGCUUGGUGAGCUGUGAAAUGGGAAGGAUCACGAGCAGAGGGGGAAGCGCGCCUUCCAGGGCCACAGCAGAAGUGAACUUCCAAGAGCAGCUGUCUGGAGAGCCAGACAACGCCCCUCCAGCUCAUGACAUCACUCUCGGUGGCCAAAAGGAGAAGGGGCCGCAUGACUCCAGGGUUUACUCAUCUGCUGUGACCCAGCUGGCUUUGUUGGGGGGAUGGGGGUGGUGACACUCGUAGGUGCUGUUCUGCUUUCUGAGAGCUCAGACGCAAGGGCCUUUGGAUGGUCUCCCGAAUGCUUCGUCUGCGAAGCCUCGGGUUCCUAGAAGGCCCGCUGGGCCCAGAGGUGGGACUUGGCUCACUUCAACCACACCCUGAGGGCCCUGCACACUCAGGGCCAGCCCUGAGGCUUCCCGGAGAGGAGGGAUCUGGAGCCUUCUAAUGCUCCCGCUUUUGAAACUGAGGCCUGACAGCUCCCAAAGCUGAAUUACCCCCACAGUGAUCUGUCACCAAGAAGAGUGCUAUGCUCUGCCAGUGCCUUUGGCAGCGGUGACACAGGGACCCGUCUCCUGCUGUCCCCACUUCUGCAGACCCUGGCCAGCUCAGGCCCAGCUGCAUACCUAUUACCUAAGAGCUUCGCUCCCCUGCCCUCUUCACUGCUGUCCCCUGGCGGCGUGCCCCGCCUCACGCCCCCCUCCCCUGACCUCCCCUUCAGCCAGGGUGGCCCCAUGACCUCCUACUUGGCAAAAUCCGGUGGCACUUCCUCAGGUCUCUGCGUACCACCUCUCUGGACACCGGAAGCGCUCUCGCCUUGUUGGCCCUGGGAGGCCACCCCACUCAGCUUAUCUCCCUCUGCCUCUGAUCUUAGAUGCGGCCCUGUUUCCCUGUGUCUGAGAUUCACCCAGAUUCUUCCCACCUUCUGGUCUUGAGUUACACAUAUAGGUUCAUUUGUUCAACCACGUGUGCAUAACAGACGCUUGAGUUGGAGAAUCAGCAAAGAACAAGAUUUUCGCAUCCCUCGUGGGCCGUACGGUCUUGGGUCUUACACUUGGCCCUUUUACAUAUAACAGAUCCAACCUUUCUUCAGCUGAGAGGGAAAUGACAGGGGUUAUGAGAGCGCAUGGUGUUAGUGGGUGUGGUGGUGUCUUGUCUGGACACAUGACUGAGGCCUCCCCAAGAAAGCCCAGGCCUGCAGAGGGGGCGGUGGGUGGCCGCGUGAGCAGGGAAGGGAAUCCCCAGGCAGAGGGAACAACACCAGCGAGGUGAUGAGGCAGGACCUUUGCAUGUGGAGUCGUUGAGGAACUGGAAGACAGGACCUUACUGCAGAAGGAACUGGAGACCAGGCAGCAUCCGGCCAUGCAGGCCUUUGGGGGUCUUGGCCAGAAUUCAGAUUUUAUCCUAAACCACCGGGGCGGCACUGGAAGUUCUAAGGCAAAGGAGAAGACUGGCCCAGGUUACAUUAUUAGCAGCAGCCCUUGCGCGAGCUGGUGCCGCGUCCCGCUCCCAUGCAUCCGGAGGGUGUAAUUUUCACCUCUUCCACAGCGUGGCGUCCUGACACUGGGCCUCAGUCGAGGCUUUGAGGCUUGGUGUUGGUCUGUCCUGAGAAAUGUGCACUUUUCGGCAUUCUCUCUGCUCCUUGCAACUUUUCAUUUACCCAGCCAACCUCGCUGAGCUUCUGUGCUGCGGAGGGGAGGUGCAUCGGACCCUGCCCCGUGCUUGGAGAUCUGGAUGGUGUGGCUGAGGCCCGGAGUGAGCCAGGGAGGACUUCCCUGCUUUGUGUCAGGCCCCGGGCUUCAGGGGCACUUGGACAUCCAGGGCAAGCGAGUCGCAUGGGCAACAGCCACCAGGAGCCCCUGUGCUCAGAGACUAGCGAGCCGUGCAGCUAACGCAGGAAGGUGGCGCUGAGGUGGGGAGUGGCCUGAGAUGUGGGGUCCUGGGCUCUCCCUCCAUCCAGGGAGACGUGGACAGGUUUUGAGCUGAGGAGUGAUUUGAACAUUGGGAUUUGAGAGCAGGUGAGAGGCGGAGGGGAGGGCAGGCGGGAGGGCAUCAUUAUAAACUGGUCGGAGAGAAUGUGUGUCACUAGGUGAAGCCUUGUCACUGCCACAGUAAAACUCUCUUCCCCUCUCUGUCCCCUGCCCUUGCUGGGUUAUGUCCCCAUCAGUCGCACUCCUGAGCCACCAGCACUGUCUCUUCAGCACCAAGUGUGGUUACAUCCUGGGCUCCAGAGGCAACAGGUCUGAGCCUGAAACAUCAUUCUGGCCCCGACUUGCUAAUCACAUCCCUUAACCCCUUGGCCUCAGUUUUCUCAUCUGUGAAAUGGGGGUGGAAAGGGAUUGUUGAGGAUUAACCUACGGGGGGCGGGGGGUGAAGUCCAAGCAUAUGCCUGGUGCUCACUGACAACCUGGUUAUCUUUAUUUCCCUGUCCCUGUUGCAGUCCACCCCCUGGGGAGUCCUCUGUGGCCACAGAUCUGCGACCAGCCCACCAGCACCUUUAUCUUAUGGCUGAGGAAUCUGGGGCCCAGAGAGAGACAGUGACUCCUCUGGGGUCACCCAACCUUUCAGUGGCAGAGCACAGACCUGUUCAUUUCUCCCUCUGGCAAUUCUUAUUUUUUAAAAAUGCUGAUAAUUUAAAAAAUUCCCAAGUCAACUGGGGAACAGGCAACAAUGAAAUGGGCAUUUGGGGGAUGGGGGGUCCCCCAGAUAUUUCCAGGGAGUAUCCUGACUAGAAGGGCCCUAAUGAAAUCAUCCAACCACCCUAGUGACAUUUGGGGAAGUUGAGGCCCAGAGAGAGGUCGUGGCUCGCUCAGGCUCCCCGGAGAGUAGGAAGCAGAGAAGGGCUCACCGGGCCCACGGCCAGUGAUCAGCAGUAGUCAGGCAGGCUCUUCUCCCUAGCCCACUGCCUCUUGG